Ailuropoda melanoleuca (giant panda) is the source of this 126-nucleotide small nuclear RNA. The record is from Ensembl. NCBI's taxonomy places the organism in Eukaryota, Metazoa, Chordata, Mammalia, Carnivora, Ursidae.
GUGUUGUAUGAAAGGAGAGAAGGUUAGCACUUCCCUUGACAAAGAUGGAAGAGGCCCUUGGGCCUGACAACAUGCAUACAGUUAAGGCAAUGCCACCUACUUUGUGGCAUCUAACCAAUGUUUUUU